AUUUUUAUUCCGUUUUAGGGCUUUUUGAUUCUCUUGUAGGGUUUAUGUUGGUUUAAGAGAUGGUGUGGGCAGAUUUGGGAAUCAUACCAUCAUCUCCAUCUUCACCUCCACGUAACACACCCACUCAUCUCCUUUAUCUUCUUUUCGGGUUUUAUCUGUUCUUUUGGAGAUUUUACAUGGAUUCCGUACUAGAAACUUCUGUCCAAACAAUUCCCACCAUCGAUUUCUGCCCUAAUUUCCCCUCUAAAGAUCAUUUUCCUUGAGUUUUUAUCCAACUUCUGAUUUCAAGGUAAGGUUUCUCUUACUCUUUGUAGAAUGAUUUUAAUUUUACUCAGAUCUGUGUAGGUAUCUUUUGCUAAUUUGUUUUGGUUAUUCAUUUUGCAUCAGCUGGACUUGAACUUAUCAAAAAAUACAUUUCUUUUAUAGUAAAAGACUAAAAGAUGAAGAUACAUUAGCUUUUGUGUUCUUCUAUAUAAUGGCCUCUAUAAUUUGUUGUUUUAGUCAAUGUAUCCGUAUAGGAACAAAUUGGGAAUAUGGGAUAAACAAGGUCGGUGGCAAGUAGUAAAGUCUCAGGUAUUACUCUGAAUUGUUGUCAAAAUGGGCAUAUAUUAAUAUUGAUGUCAACUUUGGAAGCUGGACUCUUAUAAUAAUUUCUUCAGGCUUAUGUUUCACAAUCUUUUUUUUUUCACAUUAAUUUAUCUAACGAAAGUAAUGAAAUUCCAAAAGGGAAUAAUAAAAACCCCAAAGUUACAGGUUAGAUUAUUCAAGCGAGUAAAAUUACUCAAGCGAUAUUACAACAUGUAAGAUUAAUCACCAGAACCCUAGAAUGAACCCCAAAGUUAACACUUUCCUAUAUCCAACACGGCAGCACCUGUAUUUCUUGCUUCUCUUCUGCAAUUUUGUGUUAAUAUUUAAGAAAUGAUACGUAUUUUCUUUCUAUUUUGCUUUGACACCGUAAAAAUAUUCAACUUAUUUUAGUUUUAAUCUGUUUGAUAUAGCAUCACAGGUAUCUGUUAAUGAUGUUUCCUCAGCCUGCACACCAACACCACGUUGUUACCAAUACAAUAUGUUGACCACAGACUUCCCCUCCAAAAUUGUAAAAUUCAGAUGUAUUUGUUAGGGUUUUUUUAAUUAUAUAGUAGAGUUUAUCUAACUGCAACACGUCCAACGAUUUUCUAAAUAUAGAUAGGGUUUGUGGUAUGUUACCAAACUAAUUGAUUUGUGUUUCCAUUGAUGCAGUGUGAAAUUGGCUGAAGAAUAAUUAUAGCAGACGGAGGAGAAAGGGUCGAAUUGAAUCAAAUAAUAAACAAGUGAUUUAAUUAAACGUCGAAUUUUUAUUUUUAUGUAUCUAUAUAUGUGUGUCAUAGAGUGAAGAUUUUAGUAAGUUUUAUCACCUGUUGCAGUUUCCCAUAUGUGUUACAGCAUGCCAUUUGUCACUUUACACAGAACUUGUCCUAAUUUGUCGUUUAUUCAUCAACCGACUUCUUCUAUGACUGAAGUUGUUGUUGGAGAUGAUCAGAUGUGAUCUAAUCAGAUCAACAGUUUCAUGUUGAAUUUGAUGUUAUCUAAAGCUGAAUCUGAUAAUAUUUGAAAGAUUAUGCUGAUAAACUAUAAGCUACUGUUCAAGCUUAUCAGAAGUUGCUGUCUUAGACUCUCACUUUUGCACAUGUUACCUUCAUCUAUUUCGGGUUUGUAGCAGGUAUGUUUCCUUUUUUCUUAUGUGCAUUUUUUAGGACCUAUACUUUUCAAAAAUAAGAAUUAAGAUAUUGGUUGGUUUGUUUAUUUUGUUCUUAUGGUAUGGGAAUCCUGAUUCUUGUGUUUAUCCAACACAGAUACCUUUUCAAUUUAGAUCCAUCAUCCAUGUUACAUUAUGUUUUACUAAAUAGUAUAUUUCCCACUUUUUUUAUUAAUAAAUUAUAAAUGCAUGAUGAUAAUUGUGCCCAUGAAAUCCAAUUAAUUAGGUUUUUUUACUCUUAUAAGGAAAUUACUUACCACUAUUAUAGUUUCAUUUUCCAGGUUCUAAAUAUAAGAAUUUCCAUUUAUUUGUUAAUGUUUAAUGAAGACUUUGAGGUUUCCCAGGUUUGACUUUCAUUUAUCUCACCAUGUUUAUCAUGUUUCAUGUCUUUGCAACUCUGAUGCAUGCCUUUUUACUUCUAUAAAGUUUUGAUGAAGAUGUUGUUUACUCUGUUUCUGGAUUGAUGACCGAAACAUUAUAAAUAUGUCGGAUGACAUGAUUUGUUGUUUUUUUUAUAGGGACAUUGUAAUGUUCAAAAUAGAGAUAAAUUGAUCUUAAAAAUCAUUUUUAUAACAUAUAUGGAGUUGCAGACUGGGGGAGAAUGGUUGUAAAAAAAUUAGUAAAAAAUAUUUAAAGCUGUUUAUGGGAGGAAGAAAUAUAGUGAUAGAUACUAUAGAUAAAUAUAGCAAACCAAGAUGACGGGGGAAAAGAGAAGAUUUGUAGAGGGUUUCAAGGGAGGAGACAGGAACCAAAAAUGUUUAUAAUGUUUCUUAUCACUAUCAAACCUUGCUAUACUAGGAUCAAAUUUAAAAAAUGUCUCAUAAGAACUUAUUAACGUUAUGAAAAUCUAUUUCAACAUUUCACAGAAAACCUUAAGUUGCUGGUAGAAUUUUUGGCUCUUAAUCAUACAGCUACUUACAUUACUAGAUUCAUAUACAUAAUCUAUCUCUAUAUCUUAAAAGUAACCAUAUGAUUGAGUUGAUGGAUUAUAUGUUGGUUUCUUGCAGGUGCUUGCUAUUGAUGGAGGAGUCGUGAUGUUUCAGAUACCCAAGAACUUGGUUAAAUAUAGACUACAUUGCAUGAAUCACAAUUCAAAACUUUUACAUUUUUUUCAUAAAAACAUGAAAAAAAUGGUCCGGGACAAAGUUCGGGCUUUUCGUCCUUGCACUUUCUACGUCUAUCAUAUUUAUCGAUUCGGAAAAAGCUUCUGGCCUCCGCGUAGUGGGCGAAAUUCACACUUAUUGGUUAAAACUUCUAGUCACAAUGAUCAUGGGUGUUAUAAAUUGGACGUAAAAGCAGCUUUCUUCAUGGUGAAUCAAGUGAAAGACGUGUCGUGUGCUUGGAGCAAUCAAGAGGUUAUGAGAAGAGAGGAAACAACUCAUAAUCAAGUUGUAGAUGUGAUGACAGUAGAAGAUUUUUUAAUGGGAGUGUGCACUGCCAAUGAAUUAAAUUAAUUGUUGUCUUGCAGUUAGUUAGGGGAUGGAUUGUAGAGUUCUUGUUUUUGGGCCGGGUCUUGUUUUCGUUUGAAUAACAAUAAUAAUAUGUCUAUAGAAGUUUUUAAAAGUAUUUCUUUUUAUAAUUGUUAAUGUAAUUUUUACGAUAUAAAUAAAUUGGAUUCUUUAUGUUUUGUUUUA
Molecule: non-coding RNA, 3369 nt
Organism: Lactuca sativa (garden lettuce)
Lineage: Eukaryota; Viridiplantae; Streptophyta; Magnoliopsida; Asterales; Asteraceae
Source: RefSeq, a predicted model, not a curated record